GCCUUCGUGGUGUAGUGGUCAGCACGCUCGGCGUGUAUUUCGAGAGGUCCGUGGUACGAAUCCCGGCCAGGGCA
This 74-nucleotide transfer RNA is filed under the name Stegodyphus mimosarum. It matches the Rfam family "tRNA". From Rfam's summary of the family: Transfer RNA (tRNA) molecules are approximately 80 nucleotides in length. Their secondary structure includes four short double-helical elements and three loops (D, anti-codon, and T loops). Further hydrogen bonds mediate the characteristic L-shaped molecular structure. tRNAs have two regions of fundamental functional importance: the anti-codon, which is responsible for specific mRNA codon recognition, and the 3' end, to which the tRNAs corresponding amino acid is attached (by aminoacyl-tRNA synthetases). tRNAs cope with the degeneracy of the genetic code in two manners: having more than one tRNA (with a specific anti-codon) for a particular amino acid; and 'wobble' base-pairing, i.e. permitting non-standard base-pairing at the 3rd anti-codon position. Lineage: Eukaryota; Metazoa; Arthropoda; Arachnida; Araneae; Eresidae. The record is from Rfam by way of RNAcentral.